CAGCCGCCGCGGUAAUACGAAGGGUGCAAGCGUUGUCCGGAAUUAUUGGGCGUAAAGAGCUCGUAGGCGGUUUGUCGCGUCUGCUGUGAAAUCCCGAGGCUCAACCUCGGGCUUGCAGUGGGUACGGGCAGACUAGAGUGCGGUAGGGGAGAUUGGAAUUCCUGGUGUAGCGGUGGAAUGCGCAGAUAUCAGGAGGAACACCGAUGGCGAAGGCAGAUCUCUGGGCCGUAACUGACGCUGAGGAGCGAAAGCGUGGGGAGCGAACAGGAUUAGAUACCCCAGUAGUCCCUGUCUCUUAUAC
RNAcentral lists this ribosomal RNA (301 nucleotides) under uncultured bacterium. RNAcentral describes it as "partial 16S ribosomal RNA". It matches the Rfam family "Bacterial small subunit ribosomal RNA", at positions 509 to 807 of the family's 1533-position model. The record is from RNAcentral.